RNAcentral lists this long non-coding RNA (522 nucleotides) under Acyrthosiphon pisum (pea aphid). RNAcentral's name for it is "uncharacterized LOC115034729, transcript variant X1". The record is from RNAcentral. Lineage: Eukaryota; Metazoa; Arthropoda; Insecta; Hemiptera; Aphididae.
GCAAGAGGAAAAUUAAUCUUUUGAUUUUUAUGUAUACUCAUAAGGACAUCAGGAUCAUGUCAAUGUGUAUUAGUUGGACCACAAAAAAAUUAUUAUCCAAAUAGUUUGCGGUCAUAUUGGGUAUUAAACAGUGAAUUAGAAAAAGUAACUGAUGAAGUGUCAUAAUUCUAUGUAGUAAUGGAAAUAACAAUAACUAGUUGAUUUGAUGACAAGUAAAAUCUGGUUUUCAGAACUUACACAUACAGAAUCUAGACAGUUAUCUAAGUUAAAUAUACACCAGUAUAUUUAAACAUUUUAACAGAUUUCCACACCACCUUAGCAUUGUAUUCAACAAAACUGGAGGUACUGCAUUUUGGCGCGUUUUUUUAUAGUGGUUUCCCAACAUAGGCCUACUCCACUCUUUAUCUUUGUUUCUAAAUUGGCAUAUACAUAUUACUAAUAUUUUAUGCAUUAACCUUUUUAAUUUAUUCAUUAAUACUUACCUUUUAUUUUAUUUUAUUUUUUGUAUUAGAUAUGCACAAA